This 495-nucleotide ribosomal RNA is filed under the name uncultured bacterium. RNAcentral's name for it is "partial 16S ribosomal RNA". It matches the Rfam family "Bacterial small subunit ribosomal RNA", at positions 29 to 506 of the family's 1533-position model. The record is from RNAcentral.
AUGAACGCUGGCGGCGUGCCUAAUACAUGCAAGUCGAGCGAACGGACGAGAAGCUUGCUUCUCUGAUGUUAGCGGCGGACGGGUGAGUAACACGUGGAUAACCUACCUAUAAGACUGGGAUAACUUCGGGAAACCGGAGCUAAUACCGGAUGAUAUUUUGAACCGCAUGGUUCAAAAGUGAAAGACGGUCUUGCUGUCACUUAUAGAUGGAUCCGCGCUGCAUUAGCUAGUUGGUAAGGUAACGGCUUACCAAGGCAACGAUGCAUAGCCGACCUGAGAGGGUGAUCGGCCACACUGGAACUGAGACACGGUCCAGACUCCUACGGGAGGCAGCAGUAGGGAAUCUUCCGCAAUGGGCGAAAGCCUGACGGAGCAACGCCGCGUGAGUGAUGAAGGUCUUCGGAUCGUAAAACUCUGUUAUUAGGGAAGAACAUAUGUGUAAGUGACUGUGCACAUCUUGACGGUACCUAAUCAGAAAGCCACGGCUAACUACGU